Molecule: ribosomal RNA, 780 nt
Filed under: uncultured bacterium
Lineage: Bacteria
Description: bacterial SSU rRNA
Rfam family: Bacterial small subunit ribosomal RNA
Source: RNAcentral
CAGUCGGACGCGAAAGCUCCCUCGGGAGUGAGUAGAGUGGCGCACGGGUGAGUAACGCGUAGGUAAUCUCCCUCUGGAUUGGGGAUAACUCUGCGAAAGCGGAGCUAAUACCGAAUGGUCUGGCUUUAUUUCGAUGAAGUCGGUAAAGGAUGCCUCUGCAUAUGCAUCUGUCCAGAGAUGAGCCUGCGUCCCAUUAGCUAGUUGGUAGGGUAAAGGCCUACCAAGGCGACGAUGGGUAGCUGGUCUGAGAGGAUGAUCAGCCACACUGGAACUGGAACACGGUCCAGACUCCUACGGGAGGCAGCAGUGGGGAAUAUUGGGCAAUGGGCGCAAGCCUGACCCAGCAACGCCGUGUGAGGGAUGAAGGCCUUCGGGUCGUAAACCUCUGUCAGAAGGGAAGAACGGGCACAGUUCGAAUAGGGCUGUGUUUUGACGGUACCUUCAGAGGAAGCACCGGCUAACUCCGUGCCAGCAGCCGCGGUAAUACGGAGGGUGCGAGCGUUAUUCGGAAUCACUGGGCGUAAAGGGCGCGUAGGCGGCCUGGUAAGUCAGGGGUGAAAUCCCACGGCUCAACCGUGGAAUUGCCUUUGAAACUGCUGGGCUUGGAUCCUGGAGAGGGUGGCGGAAUUCCUGGUGUAGGAGUGAAAUCCGUAGAUAUCAGGAGGAACACCGGUGGCGAAGGCGGCCACCUGGACAGGUAUCGACGCUGAGGCGCGAAAGUGUGGGGAGCAAACAGGAUUAGAUACCCUGGUAGUCCACACCGUAAACGAUGGAUACUAG